This 403-nucleotide ribosomal RNA is filed under the name Actinomycetes bacterium. RNAcentral's name for it is "Actinobacteria bacterium partial 16S ribosomal RNA". It matches the Rfam family "Bacterial small subunit ribosomal RNA", at positions 355 to 776 of the family's 1533-position model. Lineage: Bacteria; Bacillati; Actinomycetota; Actinomycetes. The record is from RNAcentral.
UGGGGAAUAUUGCACAAUGGGGGAAACCCUGAUGCAGCGACGCCGCGUGAACGAAGAAGGUAUUCGUAUCGUAAAGUUCUGUCCUAUGGGAAGAUAAUGACAGUACCAUAGAAGAAAGCUCCGGCUAAAUACGUGCCAGCAGCCGCGGUAAUACGUAUGGAGCGAGCGUUGUCCGGAAUUAUUGGGCGUAAAGGGUACGAAGGCGGUUUAAUAAGUCGAAUGUUAAAGAUCGGGGCUCAACCCCGUAAAGCAUUGGAAACUGAUAAAAUUGAGUAGUGGAGAGGAAAGUGGAAUUCCUAGUGUAGUGGUGAAAUACGUAGAUAUUAGGAGGAAUAACAGUAGCGAAGGCGACUUUCUGGACACAAACUGACGCUGAGGUACGAAAGCGUGGGGAGCAAACAGG